ACUGGGAGAGGUCAACAGAUACUGCCAGGCUAGAGUAUGGGAGAGGGUACUGGAAUUCCCGGUGUAGCGGUGAAAUGCGCAGAUAUCGGGAGGAACACCAAUGGCGAAAGCAGGUACCUGGACCGUUACUGACGCUCAGCUGCGAAAGCUAGGGGAGCAAACAGGAUUAGAUACCCUGGUAGUCCUAGCUGUAAACGAUGCACAUUAGAUGUGGGGGGUAUCGACCCCCUCCGUAUCGACGCAAACGCAUUAAAUGUGCCGCCUGGGGAGUACGGCCGCAAGGCUGAAACUCAAAGGAAUUGACGGGGGCCCGCACAAGCGGUGGAGCAUGUGGUUCAAUUCGACGCAACGCGAAGAACCUUACCUGGGCUCGAAAUGCAGGAGACCGGGGUAGAAAUAUCCCUUUCCGCAAGG
RNAcentral lists this ribosomal RNA (414 nucleotides) under uncultured bacterium. Its description in RNAcentral is "bacterial SSU rRNA". It matches the Rfam family "Bacterial small subunit ribosomal RNA", at positions 612 to 1024 of the family's 1533-position model. The record is from RNAcentral.